UCCGUAGGUGAACCUGCGGAGGGAUCAUUACCGAGUUUACAACUCCCAAACCCCUGUGAACAUACCUAUACGUUGCCUCGGCGGAUCAGCCCGCGCCCCGUAAAAAGGGACGGCCCGCCCGAGGACCCCUAAACUCUGUUUUUAGUGGAACUUUUGAGUAAAACAAACAAAUAAAUCAAAACUUUCAACAACGGAUCUCUUGGUUCUGGCAUCGAUGAAGAACGCAGCAAAAUGCGAUAAGUAAUGUGAAUUGCAGAAUUCAGUGAAUCAUCGAAUCUUUGAACGCACAUUGCGCCCGCCAGUAUUCUGGCGGGCAUGCCUGUUCGAGCGUCAUUUCAACCCUCAAGCUCAGCUUGGUGUUGGGACUCGCGGUAACCCGCGUUCCCCAAAUCGAUUGGCGGUCACGUCGAGCUUCCAUAGCGUAGUAAUCAUACACCUCGUUACUGGUAAUCGUCGCGGCCACGCCGUAAAACCCCAACUUCUGAAUGUUGACCUCGGAUCAGGUAGGAAUACCCGCUGAACUUAAGCAUAUCAAUAAGCGGAGGA
This 546-nucleotide ribosomal RNA is filed under the name Fusarium sp. CTSP F3. RNAcentral's name for it is "eukaryotic LSU rRNA". The stretch from base 180 to 333 matches the Rfam family "5.8S ribosomal RNA". Lineage: Eukaryota; Fungi; Ascomycota; Sordariomycetes; Hypocreales; Nectriaceae. The record is from RNAcentral.